RNAcentral lists this transfer RNA (87 nucleotides) under Hydrogenimonas sp. Its description in RNAcentral is "tRNA-Leu". It matches the Rfam family "tRNA". From Rfam's summary of the family: Transfer RNA (tRNA) molecules are approximately 80 nucleotides in length. Their secondary structure includes four short double-helical elements and three loops (D, anti-codon, and T loops). Further hydrogen bonds mediate the characteristic L-shaped molecular structure. tRNAs have two regions of fundamental functional importance: the anti-codon, which is responsible for specific mRNA codon recognition, and the 3' end, to which the tRNAs corresponding amino acid is attached (by aminoacyl-tRNA synthetases). tRNAs cope with the degeneracy of the genetic code in two manners: having more than one tRNA (with a specific anti-codon) for a particular amino acid; and 'wobble' base-pairing, i.e. permitting non-standard base-pairing at the 3rd anti-codon position. Lineage: Bacteria; Pseudomonadati; Campylobacterota; Epsilonproteobacteria; Campylobacterales; Hydrogenimonadaceae. The record is from RNAcentral.
GCGGACGUGGCGGAAUUGGUAGACGCGCUAGAUUCAGGUUCUAGUGGGCAUUCGCUCGUGGAGGUUCAAGUCCUCUCGUCCGCACCA